CUUGUCACAAAGCCGACCAUUUCCUGGGCUGCACCAAAAGAAGUGUGGCUAGCAGGGCGAGGGAGGUGAUCCUGCUCCUCAACUCUGCCACUGAAGAGAAACCUACAACCAAAGAAAACUGAUGGAUUCAUCAUCCCGACAUGACGCUCCUGGAACUUCAGAUUGCUCUUUUAUACACAUGUUGCAAAAAGGAAUGGUCAAAGGGAGCUUGUCAACUCCUGGUUCACAGGAACCCUGCCAAAGCUGGAACACUGCAUCUCAGCUGCAUCUUUCUGUGCCCUUCAGGAACUUACUGGGCACUGUAGCACUGAGAGUCAGCUGGAUUCAGCAGUGACCAUCAGUGUGAGAUUCACCACCUGUUUGCACAGGUCACCAUUGCUUGCCCCUUGGCUUAAAUCUUACAGCUUAUGCCCACUUAUGCUUUUAUUUGGAAAAAAAUAAAAUGUGUUGAAAAAUAAAAUGACCAUGUGUGACAA
Meleagris gallopavo (turkey) is the source of this 476-nucleotide long non-coding RNA. RefSeq lists it as uncharacterized. The record is from RefSeq and is a predicted model, not a curated record. Lineage: Eukaryota; Metazoa; Chordata; Aves; Galliformes; Phasianidae.